Molecule: ribosomal RNA, 500 nt
Filed under: uncultured bacterium
Lineage: Bacteria
Description: partial 16S ribosomal RNA
Rfam family: Bacterial small subunit ribosomal RNA
Source: RNAcentral
AUUGAACGCUGGCGGCAUGCCUUACACAUGCAAGUCGAACGGCAGCACGGGAGCAAUCCUGGUGGCGAGUGGCGAACGGGUGAGUAAAGUAUCGGAACGUGCCCAGUCGUGGGGGAUCACGUAGCGAAAGUUACGCUAAUACCGCAUACGAUCUAUGGAUGAAAGCGGGGGAUCGCCAGAACUCGCGCGAUUGGAGCGGCCGAUAUCAGAUUAGGUAGUUGGUGGGGUAAAGGCUCACCAAGCCGACGAUCUGUAGCUGGUCUGAGAGGACGACCAGCCACACUGGGACUGAGACACGGCCCAGACUCCUACGGGAGGCAGCAGUGGGGAAUUUUGGACAAUGGGCGCAAGCCUGAUCCAGCCAUGCCGCGUGCAGGAUGAAGGCCUUCGGGUUGUAAACUGCUUUUGUACGGAACGAAAAGGUUUGACUUAAUACGUUGGACUCAUGACGGUACCGUAAGAAUAAGCACCGGCUAACUACGUGCCAGCCGCCGCAGUAA